AGUAGUCAUAUGCUUGUCUCAAAGAUUAAGCCAUGCAUGUCUCAGUGCAAGCUAAAUUAAAGUGAAACCGCGAAUGGCUCAUUAAAUCAGUUAUGGUUCCUUGGAUCCUACCAAUCCUACUUGGACAACUGUGGUAAUUCUAGAGCUAAUACAUGCACCCAGAGCCCCGUCCAGAAAUGGUCGGGGCGCAGUUAUUAGAUCAAAACCAAUCGGUCGGGCUCGCCCGUCCGUAGUUUUGGUGACUCGGAAUAACCACGGCUGAUCGCACGGCCUCGCGCCGGCGACGUAUCCUUCGAAUGUCUGCCUUAUCAACUGUCGAUGGUAGGUUCUGCGCCUACCAUGGUUGUAACGGGUAACGGGGAAUCAGGGUU
RNAcentral lists this ribosomal RNA (371 nucleotides) under Cloeon sp. BMNH 704643. RNAcentral describes it as "SSU rRNA". It matches the Rfam family "Eukaryotic small subunit ribosomal RNA", at positions 19 to 377 of the family's 1831-position model. The record is from RNAcentral. Lineage: Eukaryota; Metazoa; Arthropoda; Insecta; Ephemeroptera; Baetidae.